This 261-nucleotide signal recognition particle RNA is filed under the name Jaculus jaculus (lesser Egyptian jerboa). RNAcentral's name for it is "Metazoan signal recognition particle RNA (ENSJJAG00000005565.1)". It matches the Rfam family "Metazoan signal recognition particle RNA". Rfam says of the family: The signal recognition particle (SRP) is a universally conserved ribonucleoprotein. It is involved in the co-translational targeting of proteins to membranes. Lineage: Eukaryota; Metazoa; Chordata; Mammalia; Rodentia; Dipodidae. The record is from Rfam by way of RNAcentral.
GCCAAGUGUGGUGGCGUACACCCUUAAUCUCAGUUACUCGGGAGGCUUGAGUCCAGCAGUUCUGGGCUGUAGUGCGCAAUUCCAAUCUGGUGUCCACACUAAGUUCAUCAUCAUAUGGUGACCUCCCGGGAGGGGGGCACCACCAGGUUGCCUAAGGAGAGGUGAACCGGCCCAGGUUGGAAAGGGAGCAGGUCAAAACUCCUGUGCUGAAUAGAAAGAAAGGGAGGGAGGGGGGACCUGAUAGGACGCUACUGUAUAUAU